UGCAGUCGAGCGGACUAUAAAAAGGGGUAACUCUUUUUAUAGUUAGCGGCGAACGGGUGAGUAACACGUGGGUAACCUGCCCUCAGGUGGGGGAUAACUCGGGGAAACCUGAGCUAAUACCCCAUAAGACUACGAGCUGAAAUGCUUGUAGUAAAAGGAGUAAUUCGCCUGAGGAUGGGCCCGCGGCCUAUCAGGUAGUUGGUAGGGUAAUGGCCUACCAAGCCUAUGACGGGUAGCCGAGCUGAGAGGCUGGCCGGCCACACUGGGACUGAGACACGGCCCAGACUCCUACGGGAGGCAGCAGUGGGGAAUAUUGGGCAAUGGGCGAAAGCCUGACCCAGCGACGCCGCGUGGGGGAAGAAGGCCUUCGGGUUGUAAACCCCUUUUGCAGGGGACGACACAGGACGGUACCCUGCGAAUAAGCCACGGCUAACUCUGUGCCAGCAGCCGCGGUAAGACAGAGGUGGCAAGCGUUGCUCGGAUUCACUGGGCUUAAAGGGCGCGUAGGUGGUCUUGUAAGUCAAGGGUGGAAUUUCACAGCUUAACUGUGGAACUGCCUUUGAUACUGCAAGACUUGAGUCAGGUAGAGGAGGGCGGAAUUUCCGGUGUAGCGGUGAAAUGCGUAGAUAUCGGAAGGAAGGCCGGUGGCGAAGGCGG
This 657-nucleotide ribosomal RNA is filed under the name uncultured bacterium. RNAcentral's name for it is "bacterial SSU rRNA". It matches the Rfam family "Bacterial small subunit ribosomal RNA", at positions 56 to 724 of the family's 1533-position model. The record is from RNAcentral.